CGUAGGAACCUACCCCGUCGGAGGGAAUAACCCCGCGAAAGCGGGGCUAAUACCCAAAAUGAUUCGCAAGAAUCAGAGUCGAAAGGCCUGACGGGAGGGGCCUGCGGCCCAUCAGCUAGUUGGUAGGGUAAUGGCCUACCAAGGCUACGACGGGUAGGGGGUCUGAGAGGACGGCCCCCCACACUGGAACUGAAACACGGUCCAGACGCCUACGGGUGGCAGCAGGGAGGAAUAUUGGACAAUGGAGGAAACUCCGAUCCAGCGACGCCGCGUGAGGGAUGAAGGCCUUCGGGUUGUAAACCUCUUUUCGGGGAGACGAGCAAGGACGGUAUCCCCGGAAUAAGCCACGGCUAACUACGUGCCAGCAGCCGCGGUAAUACGUAGGUGGCGAGCGUUAUCCGGAUUUACUGGGCGUAAAGCGCUUGUAGGUGGCUUUGUAAGUUGGGCGUGAAAGCUCCUGGCUUAACCAGGAGAGGCCGUCCAAUACUGCAAGGCUAGAGGGUGCCAGAGGGAGAUGGAAUUCCUGGUGUAGUAGUGAAAUGCGUAGAUAUCAGGAGGAACACCGGUGGCGAAGGCGGUCUCCUGGGGCAUUCCUGACACUGAGAAGCGAAAGCUAGGGGAGCGAACAGGAUUAGAUACCCUGGUAGUCCUAGCCGUAAACGAUGGAUGCUAGGCGUUGGAGCUUCAAACCCUUCAGCGCCGAAGCUAACGCGUUAAGCAUCCCGCCUGGG
Molecule: ribosomal RNA, 731 nt
Filed under: uncultured bacterium
Lineage: Bacteria
Description: bacterial SSU rRNA
Rfam family: Bacterial small subunit ribosomal RNA
Source: RNAcentral